UACGUGGGGGGCUAGCGUUGUCCGGAUUUAUUGGGCGUAAAGAGCGUGUAGGCGGCCAGGUAGGUCUGCUGUGAAAACUCGAGGCUUAACCUCGAGAUGUCGGCGGAAACCAUCUGGCUAGAGUCCGGAAGAGGAGAGUGGAAUUCCUGGUGUAGCGGUGAAAUGCGCAGAUAUCAGGAAGAACACCCGUGGCGAAGGCGGCUCUCUGGGACGGUACUGACGCUGAGACGCGAAAGCGUGGGGAGCGAACAGG
RNAcentral lists this ribosomal RNA (253 nucleotides) under uncultured bacterium. Its description in RNAcentral is "partial 16S ribosomal RNA". It matches the Rfam family "Bacterial small subunit ribosomal RNA", at positions 524 to 776 of the family's 1533-position model. The record is from RNAcentral.